UGUAGGUUAGGGGUUGUAGGUGAACAACAGACUGUAGGUUAGGGGUUGUAGGUGAACAACAGACUGUAGGUAUCUGUAGGUUAGGGGUUGUAGGUGAACAACAGACUGUAGGUUAGGGGUUGUAGGUGAACAACAGACUGUAGGUAUCUGUAGGUUAGGGGUUGUAGGUGAACAACAGACUGUAGGUUAGGGGUUGUAGGUGAACAACAGACUGUAGGUAUCUGUAGGUUAGGGGUUGUAGGUGAACAACAGACUGUAGGUAUCUGUAGGUUAGGGGUUGUAGGUGAACAACAGACUGUAGGUAUCUGUAGGUUAGGGGUUGUAGGUGAACAACAGACUGUAGGUUAGGGGUUGUAGGUGAACAACAGACUGUAGGUAUCUGUAGGUUAGGGGUUGUAGGUGAACAACAGACUGUAGGUUAGGGGUUGUAGGUGAACAACAGACUGUAGGUAUCUGUAGGUUAGGGGUUGUAGGUGAACAACAGACUGUAGGUAUCUGUAGGUUAGGGGUUGUAGGUGAACAACAGACUGUAGGUAUCUGUAGGUUAGAGGUUGUAGGUGAACAACAGACUGUAGGUAUCUGUAGGUUAGGGGUUGUAGGUGAACAACAGACUGUAGGUUAGGGGUUGUAGGUGAACAACAGACUGUAGGUUAGGGGUUGUAGGUGAACAACAGACUGUAGGUUAGGGGUUGUAGGUGAACAACAGACUGUAGGUUAGGGGUUGUAGGUGAACAACAGACUGUAGGUUAGGGGUUGUAGGUGAACAACAGACUGUAGGUUAGGGGUUGUAGGUGAACAACAGACUGUAGGUAUCUGUAGGUUAGGGGUUGUAGGUGAACAACAGACUGUAGGUUAGGGGUUGUAGGUGAACAACAGACUGUAGGUAUCUGUAGGUUAGGGGUUGUAGGUGAACAACAGACUGUAGGUAUCUGUAGGUUAGGGGUUGUAGGUGAACAACAGACUGUAGGUUAGGGGUUGUAGGUGAACAACAGACUGUAGGUAUCUGUAGGUUAGGGGUUGUAGGUGAACAACAGACUGUAGGUAUCUGUAGGUUAGGGGUUGUAGGUGAACAACAGACUGUAGGUUAGGGGUUGUAGGUGAACAACAGACUGUAGGUAUCUGUAGGUUAGGGGUUGUAGGUGAACAACAGACUGUAGGUUAGGGGUUGUAGGUGAACAACAGACUGUAGGUUAGGGGUUGUAGGUGAACAACAGACUGUAGGUUAGGGGUUGUAGGUGAACAACAGACUGUAGGUAUCUGUAGGUUAGGGGUUGUAGGUGAACAACAGACUGUAGGUAUCUGUAGGUUAGGGGUUGUAGGUGAACAACAGACUGUAGGUUAGGGGUUGUAGGUGAACAACAGACUGUAGGUAUCUGUAGGUUAGGGGUUGUAGGUGAACAACAGACUGUAGGUAUCUGUAGGUUAGGGGUUGUAGGUGAACAACAGACUGUAGGUUAGGGGUUGUAGGUGAACAACAGACUGUAGGUAUCUGUAGGUUAGGGGUUGUAGGUGAACAACAGACUGUAGGUAUCUGUAGGUUAGGGGUUGUAGGUGAACAACAGACUGUAGGUUAGGGGUUGUAGGUGAACAACAGACUGUAGGUAUCUGUAGGUUAGGGGUUGUAGGUGAACAACAGACUGUAGGUAUCUGUAGGUUAGGGGUUGUAGGUGAACAACAGACUGUAGGUUAGGGGUUGUAGGUGAACAACAGACUGUAGGUAUCUGUAGGUUAGGGGUUGUAGGUGAACAACAGACUGUAGGUUAGGGGUUGUAGGUGAACAACAGACUGUAGGUAUCUGUAGGUUAGGGGUUGUAGGUGAACAACAGACUGUAGGUAUCUGUAGGUUAGGGGUUGUAGGUGAACAACAGACUGUAGGUUAGGGGUUGUAGGUGAACAACAGACUGUAGGUAUCUGUAGGUUAGGGGUUGUAGGUGAACAACAGACUGUAGGUAUCUGUAGGUUAGGGGUUGUAGGUGAACAACAGACUGUAGGUUAGGGGUUGUAGGUGAACAACAGACUGUAGGUAUCUGUAGGUUAGGGGUUGUAGGUGAACAACAGACUGUAGGUAUCUGUAGGUUAGGGGUUGUAGGUGAACAACAGACUGUAGGUAUCUGUAGGUUAGGGGUUGUAGGUGAACAACAGACUGUAGGUAUCUGUAGGUUAGGGGUUGUAGGUGAACAACAGACUGUAGGUAUCUGUAGGUUAGGGGUUGUAGGUGAACAACAGACUGUAGGUUAGGGGUUGUAGGUGAACAACAGACUGUAGGUAUCUGUAGGUUAGGGGUUGUAGGUGAACAACAGACUGUAGGUAUCUGUAGGUUAGGGGUUGUAGGUGAACAACAGACUGUAGGUAUCUGUAGGUUAGGGGUUGUAGGUGAACAACAGACAACUAGUUGUUCUGUACGGAAACCUCAAUGGUAGAAAAGACCUUGGUCUCUGUGUGUAAACAAGCAACUAAAGUUGAGGGUCAUAGAUGAACAAUCGGUACCGACCAAUUUAACAGUGAGGUCCUUUUUUUAAAGGAGAACCAGACACAAGGUUUGGCUGCGACAUUUUGUUUGUAAAAGAUAAAUAAAAUAGUUCUCUAGUUCUAUAAUGUAGUAUUUGAUGUGUCCUUGCUUCCCCCCCCCCCCCCCC
Molecule: non-coding RNA, 2636 nt
Organism: Oncorhynchus mykiss (rainbow trout)
Lineage: Eukaryota; Metazoa; Chordata; Actinopteri; Salmoniformes; Salmonidae
Source: RefSeq, a predicted model, not a curated record